RNAcentral lists this long non-coding RNA (1224 nucleotides) under Sus scrofa (pig). Its description in RNAcentral is "lncRNA (ENSSSCG00065025947.1)". The record is from RNAcentral. Lineage: Eukaryota; Metazoa; Chordata; Mammalia; Artiodactyla; Suidae.
GUGCCCAUUGGAGCCAAUCAGCUGAGUACAUAAUACAGAAUGAGGAGGAAAGAGACCAGCUACGAAACACCAAAAAUAACUGCUUGGUGCACUGAUAAUUGCGUUAUUCUCUGCUUUUCCACCACUCGCAUUAGCUCUGGGGGAAGGAAACAUCCUGCUUCCCUAAGUCGAACACUUUAUUGCCAACCUGAAACGAUUUCAGGAUUGGCUUCCAGAGGUGGAAGCAGCACAGCCGCGUGCACAGCGUUGCAAGUGUGCAGACAGCGGGCUCUCAGCAUCCUGCAAUUCUCCUCAAGGUGAGACCUUCCCAGCCCCCGGCCCCAGCCCACGUGCGGAUCCCUGGUUACCCCCAUGCUCCGGUGUUGCCCAGCGCGGGCCUGGAGCAGCCAGGGAGCCACAGGGACCUGAAACAACACGCGUCUGUGUGUGACUCAGCAGGGGCUUCCCCGCAGCGUCUGGGCGCAGGAAGUUUACCUGGGAGGGGAGGCUGGAGAGGAGCCAGGGGGGGAGAGGCAGGGGGCUGCAGACCCCGGGAGACCUGUCCAGCCGCUGGACAGUAUGGGCAGCUCUGGGGCCAGGACGAGGAGUCUGAGUGCAGGCAGGAGCUCCUUCUGCAGCCCAGCAAAUCCUCCACUGGUCUGGGUGAUCAGAGGGGGCGCCUGCCCGCGGGGCUCACAGUGGCGUCCGUCCAGACUGUGCCUGCAGCCACCUCAACAGCCUUCAGGUCAGAUGGGCCACCUCUUCUGAUUGAGGCAACAGGAGGGUGAGCUGAUAGGUCCUCACCCCACGCUUGGCAAAUGCCAAGGGCCCGUCCCUGCAAACAAAGAACCAAGGUCAGUGGGUCAGGGAGGGAGGAAGAGCCUCCCUGAAACUGCCCCAGCUCCGCCCCUGGAUAGUGGGGGGCCAGGUCCACAAAGCUCCCGCCCCCGAAAAGACAGAGGUAACCGGCUCCCGGGAAGCAAGCGGCUGCCUGCCUGCCGGGGGCACAGAGGAGCUGCUGCCGGCUUGGCCUGGCGGGUCCGCACCUGAUGGGUCAGUAAUCCGGAGGGUGAGCCCCCUUCGUCUGUUCCUCAGAGAACAGGGCCACCCUUUCUGGCUUCACGGUAGCAGGAAGGAGUUCUGGGCCAGGUCUGGAUUGACAGCAGCUGCCUGGGGGUUAGGUUGAAGGCAGAACACUGAUUUCAGGCCAGGUCCUCUCUGCCGAGGAGGCAGUAGAAUUUUCUG